This 445-nucleotide unclassified non-coding RNA is filed under the name Hevea brasiliensis (rubber tree). Lineage: Eukaryota; Viridiplantae; Streptophyta; Magnoliopsida; Malpighiales; Euphorbiaceae. The record is from RNAcentral.
AGAGUCCAUAGCAGCUGGUUGCUAAGCAAGAAGUUUAAAUUAUCAGGAAUGGUUCAGAUUUUUGUACAAGUUUCAUUGAAAGAAAAGAAAGAACAAUUGAAGAAGUUUAAAUACCUUGUGAACAGGGCUUAAUUUAUCUGUUUGAAUAAGAUUAUAUUAUAGUGAAGCCUUUUUGUGAUGCUUCUCCAUUUGAAGGAUGCUGGCAGCCUGGCUUAUCAUUGAGAGGUCUCCAUCCUUAAUAAUAUUCACUUUCUCUCCAAGGCUUCAUAACAUUUUACUUAGAUAACACUUUAUGCCUAAAUUUAGGAAAUGCUAUAUUGUUGGGUUGCAUUUCUUAAAUACCAGGCGCUUUCAAUUUGCACUUGUGUCUUGGUUGAAGUGUUCUACUCUGGAUGAAGUCUUUAUACAUCUUGCGGACAUGGUUGUGUACAAGGUUGCAUUUGAU